RNAcentral lists this ribosomal RNA (495 nucleotides) under uncultured bacterium. RNAcentral's name for it is "partial 16S ribosomal RNA". It matches the Rfam family "Bacterial small subunit ribosomal RNA", at positions 28 to 507 of the family's 1533-position model. The record is from RNAcentral.
GACGAACGCUGGCGGCGUGCCUAAUACAUGCAAGUAGAACGCUGAAGGAGGAGCUUGCUUCUCCGGAUGAGUUGCGAACGGGUGAGUAACGCGUAGGUAACCUGCCUGGUAGCGGGGGAUAACUAUUGGAAACGAUAGCUAAUACCGCAUAACAGUAGAUGUUGCAUGACAUUUGCUUAAAAGGUGCAAUUGCAUCACUACCAGAUGGACCUGCGUUGUAUUAGCUAGUUGGUGAGGUAACGGCUCACCAAGGCGACGAUACAUAGCCGACCUGAGAGGGGGAUCGGCCACACUGGGACUGAGACACGGCCCAGACUCCUACGGGAGGCAGCAGUAGGGAAUCUUCGGCAAUGGACGGAAGUCUGACCGAGCAACGCCGCGGGAGUGAAGAAGGUUUUCGGAUCGUAAAGCUCUGUUGUAAGAGAAGAACGAGUGUGAGAGUGGAAAGUUCACACUGUGACGGUAUCUUACCAGAAAGGGACGGCUAACUACGUG